UGCGUCCUCAUGCAUACGAGUCAGAUUCAUUUCCACUGAGCCACGACAGGAACUCUCUAAAUAUAUUUGUUAAUAAACCAAUGGUUCGNGCCAGGGAUCGAACUUGCGUCCUCAUGCAUACGAGUCAGAUUCAUUUCCACUGAGCCACGGCAGGAACUCCCUAAAUAUAUUUGUUAAUAAACCAGUGGUUCUCCAGACUUUUCAGCAUACUGAGUGCUAAAGCAAACAAGAGAUUCUUCUCAAAAUAUGUUGGUGGCUUGAGCGAUGUCAUUACCAAGUGGUGAUCUAUACAGAAGGAUAUUGUUUUUCAAAACCAGAGGUAAUCGUCAAGUUGGAGCAAGGAAAAGAUCCAUUGUUUUUUGAGGAAGAGUUUUAAGCAAGAGCCAUGCAGGUGAGUUUAUUACUGUAGACAGGUCUGUAGGAGAAAUUAGAUCUAAAGUGGUCAGUUAGAGGUAGAUGCCAUGAAAUAGUUUUAACACUCUCCUUUUUUUUUUUUUUUU
RNAcentral lists this long non-coding RNA (500 nucleotides) under Sus scrofa (pig). RNAcentral's name for it is "lncRNA (ENSSSCG00040054730.1)". Lineage: Eukaryota; Metazoa; Chordata; Mammalia; Artiodactyla; Suidae. The record is from RNAcentral.